This 253-nucleotide ribosomal RNA is filed under the name uncultured bacterium. RNAcentral's name for it is "partial 16S ribosomal RNA". It matches the Rfam family "Bacterial small subunit ribosomal RNA", at positions 524 to 776 of the family's 1533-position model. The record is from RNAcentral.
GACGAACCGUGCGAACGUUGUUCGGAAUCACUGGGCUUAAAGGGCGCGUAGGCGGGUGUGCAAGUCUGUGGUGAAAGCCUCCAGCUUAACUGGAGAAGUGCCAUGGAUACUGCACAUCUUGAGGAGGGUAGGGGCAUCUGGAACGGUCGGUGGAGCGGUGAAAUGCGUAGAUAUCGUUUGGAACGCCAACGGUGAAAACAGCUCGCUGGGGGUGUGCUGACGCUGAGACACGAAAGCCAGGGGAGCGAACGGG